Molecule: long non-coding RNA, 536 nt
Organism: Salvelinus namaycush (lake trout)
Lineage: Eukaryota; Metazoa; Chordata; Actinopteri; Salmoniformes; Salmonidae
Exons: 3
Source: RefSeq, a predicted model, not a curated record
GAUGCCUUCUGGGGAUUGUGUGCUGCUCUGCUUGUGGCUGUCUUAAACCUCGACUCAUAUCAUGUCUACACACUGUCUUAUGGAUGUGGAAUCAUGGUGUUUGCAGUUCGAGGAGCCAAGCGGAAAUACAGCUUUCUAUGGGACAUAAGAGAAAGGUGGUGACCCAGGUGGCAAAGCCAUGCCGUUGUCAACUGUAGAAGACUCAGUAAAUGGGCAAUGGCUUUUACUGUGCUACCUGCAAGGUCAUAUUGCAGAGCUGCCAUUAGACAAACAGAUGUCUGAUAUAUUCCGACUAGUACUGUCUGCUGAUAGGAUCUCAGCGUAAACAUGGUGACCAAUGGACCAACUCUGCUCGGUCAUCUGUCGGAAUCUUUCACGAUCAAAUCUGGAUACUCACUGUGGGUGUUAGUUCUGAUCAGAAUCAAAAAUGAAGAGAAACCUGCUGCAAUUCUAAUCAUAUUCAAACUAACACUCUACGAAUAUAUUAAAGUUUAACUUAUUGUUUUAUCUAUUUAGAAUUGAUUUAGAAUGAAUUC